Molecule: long non-coding RNA, 1004 nt
Organism: Daphnia magna
Lineage: Eukaryota; Metazoa; Arthropoda; Branchiopoda; Diplostraca; Daphniidae
Exons: 5
Source: RefSeq, a predicted model, not a curated record
UUGCAACGCUGGAGUGGAAACAUAGGCAGCCAUUAAUGAUAAAGCCCGGCAGACGCCCAUUUUUAUCAGUGACGUUCUACGUUCAAGUGUGUCAUGUUGUUAUUUUUUCCCUAAAAGAAUCCAAGGGCAGUAUUUUAAUUUUAUAGGCAUUUAUCUAUGAUGUUGUGAACAAUCUUGGAUCCAUGGCAGCUCGAUUUAUUUUUCUCUCAAUUGAGGAGAGCAGCUAUUUUUCUUUUGCCCAGAUGUUAGACAGACAAAUCCCAAUUGACCAGCAGCCACGCCAAGCUUAUAGGUUCCAUUAUUGUUGCCUUUUGACAAUACAAUCAAGACAAUGUAAUCUGGCUGGAUGGAUCUAGGAAGAAACCGGAUGCAUGUUUUGUUAUGGGUUUUAUGAAAUUGAUGGGAAUGAAAGCUUACUGAAGGAUGCAGAAAUGACGUCAGGAAUAACAACAUUCGGCCAACGGUAAUUACGACCGAUGAUUGCAUUUCGAAGCUGUUUGAUCGACUGGAUACCGGAAAUAUCGCCUUCAAACAUAUCGGUUGCGUAACGAGGUGCUACCCAAUUCGACCUCAAGAAUCAUCCACAGCUUGUGGUUUAUUAAUGGCCAAUAUCAGAAUUUGUGAGCCAAGCCGUUGUGUGGAAUGAAACCUACCAUGCUUGAAGAUGGAUAUGACGAUAGACGGAUGCGGUUAACAUGAAACAUCUACCAACACAUACUUCAUCUUCCUCGUCACUUGGGUUGAGUAUUUAAUGUUAACGCCAGAUGUUCGUCUUCCCGUGCGUGGUCAAAGACCCGACGGGUUGGCCGAAGGCCCCAACACUCCUGACAAAAUCCUUCCCUAAGUCCACCUUUUUACCUCACCCCGUGAGUUUAACCCAUAUUCGAGAGGCGAGCAUCUGGCCUAAUAUAUCAUAUAUUUCAUAGUAUAAGUUUUUGCGUGUUCAUUUUAAAUGUGAUUAUUUUUCUAAUUUUGUUAAUAUGAUUAAACAAGUACAAAGUAAA